GGAUAGCUCAAUUGGUAGAGCAUGAGACUCUUAAUUUCAGGGUAAUGGUUUCGAGCCCCAGGUUGGACA
Podarcis lilfordi (Lilford's wall lizard) is the source of this 69-nucleotide non-coding RNA. NCBI's taxonomy places the organism in Eukaryota, Metazoa, Chordata, Lepidosauria, Squamata, Lacertidae. The record is from the annotation of a GenBank genome assembly.